This 1184-nucleotide ribosomal RNA is filed under the name Dysteria brasiliensis. RNAcentral describes it as "partial 28S ribosomal RNA". It matches the Rfam family "Eukaryotic large subunit ribosomal RNA", at positions 49 to 1250 of the family's 3401-position model. Lineage: Eukaryota; Ciliophora; Phyllopharyngea; Dysteriida; Dysteriidae. The record is from RNAcentral.
AGCGGAGGAAAAGAAAUCAACAGAGAUUCCCUUAGUAUUGGCGAAUGAACAGGGAAGAGCUCAAGCUGUAAAUCUCCGGCUUUUGGUCGGCGAGUUGUAAGCUGUAGGCGGUAAUCUGCAGGUGGAUCUGGGACAUAAGUUUGUUGGAAUACAUCGGCAAAGAGGGUGAAACCCCCGUAUUUGGUCCUGGAGAAGCCGUAAGAUGCUUGCCAUAGAGUCAGGUAGUUUGGGAAUUCUGCCUAAAUUGGGGGAUAUACUUCCCCUAAAGCUAAAUAUCGAUGGGAAGCCGAUAGCAAACAAGUACUGUGAAGGAAAGGUGAAAAGAACUUUGAAAAGAGGGUUAAAAGAUUUGAAACCGUUGGGAAGGAAGCUAUGGGAGUUGGUCAAUGCCUGGUAUGACUUACCGAUGUGAAGCGAAAGGCUCUCUUAACCGGGGCUGGAAGUGGAGCGCAGGGAAGGUUCUCUACAGGCAGCAGGCAGGAUGGGGUCCGUUCGCGUGAAAAGCUGGGGUGAUUUUAGCUCCCCUGUGGUGCGUGAGUGGGCCUGAGGGGCUUUUGCGAUCCUGCCAAAACGACUUCUAUAGACCCGUCUUGAAACACGGACCAAGGAGUCUAUCACUUAUGCGAGUUUGCGGGUGGAAAACCCAUAGGCGCAAUGAAAGUGAGUUUAGGAUGCCAAGGCUUUAGCUGGCAGCAUCAGCCGUCCAUGAUCUUCUGUGAAUGGUAUGAGCAAGAGCAUAAUUGAUAGGACCCGAAAGAUGGUGAACUAUGCUUGAGUAGCAUGAAGUCAGGGGAAACUCUGAUGGAAGUGCGAAGCGAUACUGACGUGCAAAUCGUUCGUCGAACUUGAGUAUAGGGGCGAAAGACUAAUCGAACCAUCUAGUAGCUGGUUCCCUCUGAAGUUUCUCUCAGGAUAGCAAGUACAAUUUAGCAGUUUUACUAGGUAAAGCGAAUGAUUAGAGGUCACGGGGGGUCAAUCCUCUCGUCCUAUUCUCAAACUUUAAAUUGGUAAGAACCGAGGGUUUUCUUUAUUGAACCCGAGGGUAGAAUGCGUGUGCUUAGUGGGCCAUUUUUGGUAAGCAGAACUGGCGAUGAGGGAUGCACCUAACGUUGAGUUAAGGCGCCUAAGUCCGCAAUCAUUCGACACCAUAAAAGGCGUUGGUUCAUUAAGACAGCAGGACAGUG